CCUGCCAAGCAGGAACAAAGAAAACAUCCAGCAACUGCCACUGAUGCAGCGCAAUUUCAGUCUUCUGUGGCACACACCCUGUGUAUCAGGAGUUAAACCUGCAGACAUAACCAAUCACAAACUAAAUCCAAAGCACAGCAAUGCAAGUGGCUGGAAGCUACAGCUUGUGAAGUCUUUUUCAGGACAUCCUUUGGUUCUGAGUCACUUGAAAAUGUCUCUUUCAAAGAAAUGCAUUGGGUUGAGAGAAGCAACAGCAACAAGCAGACAAUGUAAUUCUGCUGCUCACGGCUCUCAUCUUCUGGCAAGCUUCAUGUCAAAGCACUGCUUAGAUUUAAAACUCUCUUCAUACACCUGCUAAGGCAGGUAAAACAGAGUUAAGUAAAUGGAAAUUUAUUUACAAGCUGCCUUCUGCUUUUUGUCUGACUUCACAUGCAAGUGUUCCUUGCAGUAGUCCUCCUUCUACUUUUGACACCUGAAUGAAUGCUCCUGUGAACAUCACCAUCCUCCUGCUUCCCAUUUCUUCUUUGCUCUGGUAUCUAUCUGACAAAACUAGAAACAGGCAGAAAAUUUCUCCUUGAUACUGGAGGGCAGAUGGUCUGAUAUUGGUGCUUAUUGUGCCCACAAUACUCCAUUUGUGGUCCAUGGUCUGAGAUCACCCUAUCUUUUGUUCUAUCCCUAGACAGUACUCUCUUCUAGACAGACAGUGGCAGAUUCAGUGCUGUAAAUUCAAAUUUCCUCCAUCCCUACCCUAUAAAAAGGACGUUUUUAAGAGGAAAAUGGAUUAACAUUACAAGUGCUACUUCACAGCUGGAAGCCAGAUAAGCAGCAUUUGAGGUGUGCUCACAUGACAUCCCAUCAAAGCCUCCUAAAGCAAAAUCAUAUAAGAAUGGCAUCUAAUUUAAUGCAGUUUAAACUUAAGGUCCUCUUCAAAGUCUUACAACUUUGAUUGAAAACACGACUCAGGAUAUGCAACACCACCUAAAUCAUAGAAAAGCAUGCCACAAAGGUACCAGCUCUGUAUUUACCUGACCUAACUCAAAAGAUUUUUAUAAAUGUGCCAGAACUGGACAAGGUGUCCCAAUAGAAGAGAACAUGCUCUCAGGAGGUAUAAACUAUCACUGCUGGAGUCAGUGAGAUUAUGGCAAUUUCCACCAGCUCAGUAACACAAGGCACUUUUAUUAGCAUCCUUAGAAUAUGAUAUUCUCUGGUAUUGUUUUUUUAACUUUAAAAUAAACCUAGCUGAGAUAUUACUGCUUAUCCAAACAGAUGUGAAAUCUGCUGUACCUAGUAAAAAAUUUUAUAAGGCACACAAUGCCAACAUUUCUUCCAUCUUUAUUAUUCUGGAAGCUGCUGGGACACGAUGGAAUCUGCCUAGGAGAUGUUGACAAACCCCAUGUUCUUAGAGGGCAGCCACUUCUGUCAGUUCUAUGCAUUAACAAAUCAAUCAACACUUUGGGAAGGAUGUUUGUACAUGGUAGUUACUCCAUGAGCUUAUCCAGAAGUUGUUUAGUAGAACAGCACCCCUUUUCCAACAGAAACAAGUCAGAGAACAUGACUGCAACAUGGCACAUGUGUGAAGGAAAUCACCUGACAACAUGGGAUCUGUCACUUAUACUCCACUGGUAAAAUGCAGGAAUUCCACCCAUCCUCAUCAUUACCUUACCUUUGGCAAGACAUGCCUUUUCCCAAGCUGAUUCCUGAAGAGGUGGUGGUGUUAUCAAAAUAAUCCUGUCUGCAGUAAUGUCUACUGACUUCAGGUACUGCACCAUGCUCUUCAGGUUGGCAGCAUACUCCUCCAAAGGAACAUGUUGCUUAGGGUUCAGCUCUGUGAGGGGUGCAGCACAUGCAUCAGUGGGGCUGAGCUCCCUGCAGGUUUCUUACACAGAAUAACAGGACUUCUAUGCAGUUUGGCCAUGGACAUUCAUUUCCAGUAUGCAGUUCCCCUCAACCAUGCAUUCGGGAGGUGUGGUAGGAAAAUUCUGUUCCUCAAUGCCCAAAGCAGACAAAUCAAGAGUUUAAAAACAGCAUUUCCAACAGGCAAAUAAGGCACAGGGGAGAAAAAGCCUCAACAGUUGGGUUUCUUUAAGAUGCUUUUUCUCAUCUUAGUAGCAGAAAGGAUAAUCACCUCAAACCUUGCCUGAACCAAAACCUGAGAUUUCCAAUAUUCUUGGAUGCAGAGAAAAUUUUGGAAAGUCCCAUGGACAUGCAGUCAGUCCUUCAUGCACUGAUAUUGUCAUUUUGGUUAGACUGCAUCCUGCUAUGCUCAUCUGAAAGAGUAUCCAAAUGCUACCUUCCCUCCUUUCCUCAGCCCAUCUUCUGAGAACUCAUCAGCCUCCUUUAAAGACAGAAAAAACAGCUGGAUGCCCAACUCCACUUUUAGGCAGCUGCUACACUACUAACUUGAGCACCCUGAAUUUACUUUUUUAGUAUUAAAACUUCGUGACAGGGAGAGAAAUCACUGCAUGGUUUAAAUACAAAUGAAAUGACUGAAAACCAACCUCUGUAUAAAAGAAAAGAGAGCAAACAGUUCCUGGAGAAGUAGCAGGAAAAGUCUGUGAAAUGUUCUGUCUAUUCUGCUAAACUGUAAAACCAUUUUAAGAGAACAGGUCACAGAAAAAAAAAGACAGAAAGCAAGCUACCCUACCUUUCAAAGCACUGUCAUUAGCUCCAAAGAAAAUGGUAACUGCAACAAUACUGUCAGCACUAGUACUUUCAUUGAUCAGUCUUGGAAGAACCAAUUUAGCCCAUCUGGUGUUGUACCCCGAGAUCCCACGAUUCACAACAUCACAUUUUCUGAAAUGGAAACACAUAUCAAAAAGAACAUCUCUUCUCUGUCCACCAAAACAAAACUUGGGAAGCUUUGAACCAUUCUGUUGGGUCAUCUGCCUCUAUCCCUGUCAGGAAAAAUGAGAAAACUCACCUGAAUUUUCAAUGGAAUUGUGCUUUGAAAGUGCACACACAGGCUGCACAUGUAGUUACUUUCACCAUGGAACUAGAACAACAAUCCUGACAAUCACUAAAGAAUUUUUAAUUUCCACUCAAGCUUUGAGUGGAAACACCCAGUGAGUAUUUCCACCAUCUCUGGGCAUGCUGCCCAGAAGGCAGUUCCACUUCACUAAAUAAAUAAAUGUCAAUAAAUAGACAAACAUGUA
Molecule: long non-coding RNA, 3152 nt
Organism: Parus major (Great Tit)
Lineage: Eukaryota; Metazoa; Chordata; Aves; Passeriformes; Paridae
Exons: 2
Source: RefSeq, a predicted model, not a curated record